GUCGAACGGAAAGGCCCUGCUUGCAGGGUACUCGAGUGGCGAACGGGUGAGUAACACGUGGGUGAUCUGCCCUGCACUUCGGGAUAAGCUUGGGAAACUGGGUCUAAUACCGGAUAGGAGCCAUCUUUAGAUGUGGUGGUUGGAAAGUUUUUUCGGUGUAGGAUGAGCUCGCGGCCUAUCAGCUUGUUGGUGGGGUAAUGGCCUACCAAGGCGGCGACGGGUAGCCGGCCUGAGAGGGUGUACGGCCACAUUGGGACUGAGAUACGGCCCAGACUCCUACGGGAGGCAGCAGUGGGGAAUAUUGCACAAUGGGCGCAAGCCUGAUGCAGCGACGCCGCGUGGGGGAUGAAGGCCUUCGGGUUGUAAACUCCUUUCGCUAGGGACGAAGCUUUGUUGUGACGGUACCUAGAUAAGAAGCACCGGCUAACUACGCGCCAGCAGCCGCGGUAAUACGUAGGGUGCAAGCGUUGUCCGGAAUUACUGGGCGUAAAGGGCUCGUAGGUGGUUUGUCGCGUCGUCUGUGAAAUUCUGGGGCUUAACUCCGGGCGUGCAGGCGAUACGGGCAUAACUUGAGUGCUGUAGGGGUAACUGGAAUUCCUGGUGUAGCGGUGAAAUGCGCAGAUAUCAGGAGGAACACCGAUGGCGAAGGCAGGUUACUGGGCAGUUACUGACGCUGAGGAGCGAAAGC
RNAcentral lists this ribosomal RNA (688 nucleotides) under uncultured Actinomycetales bacterium. Its description in RNAcentral is "bacterial SSU rRNA". It matches the Rfam family "Bacterial small subunit ribosomal RNA", at positions 61 to 760 of the family's 1533-position model. The record is from RNAcentral. Lineage: Bacteria; Bacillati; Actinomycetota; Actinomycetes; Actinomycetales.